UUUACAGUUAUAGUUUAUUUAAUUAAUGUGAUUGGAUGUCAUUGACGAAGGACUUCAUGUUCAACUUAUGAUAAUUUAAGCCUGGAAUAGCAGACAAAUUCGAUGCGGAACCACAUUUGCAAGCCUAUGGGGCAGGAUAUGCUGGAGGAUAUAUAACAUCAGAGAGAACCGAGCAAACACGGAACAACACUUUAAAGGUUACUGCGACUCGACUCUGUUGAGAAAGUCGUGUGUAAAAAUCUAUGAUUUCGAGCAUGAUAAUAUCCAGUGGAUGUCAGAAAUGAUCAAGAAGAAUCCAGAUGAUGAGUUCUGGGAUGAAGUUAACUGCAAGCCUUCUGCAAGUCGAAGGAUUUCAAGUUGUCGACAUUGACAGCCUGAUUGAAUUGAUGAGAUACAAUGAUUUCAAAAUCGAUCCGAUAUCGAGAUGUAAUUGCACUACGCCCUACAGCGCGAAAAAUUCAAUGGCAGCCCGUUGUGAUUUCGAUCCAGCACAUGUUUCCGUUCGGAGCAUUGAAGCAACAAGACCACGCUGCGACGGACGUAAAAGCAACUUCGUAUUCGUUACAAAAAGUUCUUGGCGUAAUGGCCGAAUCUGGCCCAAUCCACGGUCAACAACCAGUUUUGGAGUUUUCAAUAUCGCCUUACGCGAAUGUGUCUCAUCUUGGAAUGUUUGAUAGGUUUGAUUUUAACCCUGUACUGUUUGUAUGGGAUAAAUAAUGAGUUUAAUAGCGGCCCUGUGUUGUUUUUAUGGGAUAAAAAAAAUCAACUCUAUGCUGAAAUAUUAAACUUUUAUUCCAUUUUAUCAUUUUUAAUCAUAAUCUCUAAACUUUACUCACACAAAUGUAUCAUCUGGGAAUGCCGCCAACCCCAGAUAAAUUUGAUUUUAGACCUGUACUUUUUGUAUGGGAUAAAUAAUAAGUUUACUUAAACUUGUUUUGUUUUUAUGUGAUAAAUAAAGUCAAUUCUAUGCUGAAACUUAAGAUUUUAAACUAUUUCACUCAUCUAAUCUAUUCAUUACUGGUAUAUAAUACUGAAUUAUCGUUUAAUAUUGAACUGUGUUUUUGCUGUGAGUGAGUUUCUGAUAUUUCUCUGAUAUGUAGCAAAGCCACUAUAAAUCUUAGACUAUUUUAUUGAUUUUUUGUUGCCAUAUGUAAUACAUGGUGUCCUUAAAGUCACUUUAUAAUUCCAAUAUGGUUAUGAAGUCAGUUAUCAAUAUAUCUUAACCCGGUUUGUUGUUGUUAUUUAAUCAGUAAUUGUUCAAGUAUUUUCAUUUAUUACAUUUGUGAAGGCCAACGCAAUAUCCGAUAUCUAUGAAUUUCAAGAAAAUGUAGGACUUUAUGGACACCUUAUCUAUCUUGUUUUUAUUGGUGGCUCCCAUUGUCCCAUAUCACUUAAUUUUUUGCGUCAUGAUCUGUUUUGUGCCUUUCACUGAACGAAUCCGGGGGUUUUCAACCACUGAUGAGUACUGAUGUUUUGGAAAGACUCGAAUAUUUCCGUUUCAGCCUGGGCAGACUCAUGUUUGGGGUAGAUUUGACCUGCAUUGGGGGGAAAUUUCCAAAUUUGGGGCGAAAUUUUUUAAAAUUUGCUGCAAGAAAAUAAGACUGAAGAACCUCUAAACCAAUUUCCUAUUUUAUCAAGCUACUCAGAAACUAAUCAGUUUUCGGAGAUUAUUAUCUCAAUGAUUUCGUUUUAAUCCAUUACCCAUACAAUACUCACAGGACCACGUCUGAGAACCACUAAUAUUUGCCUUCUUUAAGACUUAAUGAACCCCCGGUUUAUACCAUUAUGGAAGAAAGUAAAAAAUUAAGUUUUUUUCACAGCCUCGAGUCUAUAUUUUUCCUAACCGGGAGUCAAUUGUAAAUUGGCCCUCAUUCACAGCCCCGCUUUUAACUCCACUCUUUAUCUGUUAUUAUAGAAUUACUUUCGUAUAACAUCCAUUUUUAGACAUUGUGCUAUAUUCUAUUUUUAAAAUAAAAUUUUGUAACAGUAUUUCUUUAUGAUUCAUUUUUAAUGUGAAGAUUUAUUGCAAUAGAUUCAUCAAAUGCAAAAUACAA
Molecule: non-coding RNA, 2054 nt
Organism: Styela clava
Lineage: Eukaryota; Metazoa; Chordata; Ascidiacea; Stolidobranchia; Styelidae
Source: RefSeq, a predicted model, not a curated record